RNA transcript from Neodiprion fabricii, 1395 nucleotides. RefSeq lists it as uncharacterized. The transcript has 5 exons. Lineage: Eukaryota; Metazoa; Arthropoda; Insecta; Hymenoptera; Diprionidae. The record is from RefSeq and is a predicted model, not a curated record.
GUUACCGUCGUUACGCGACGUUCAUUUGUCGCGCGACAUUCGAUUGAGUCGUUUCUCGUCGAAUUCCGGUAUACGUCUGAAAUUUAGAAUUCAAUCCCGUGAAAUAUUGAUACCCCGUGUGGUUGAUAACAGUGAUAAUUAUCACGAUACGUAGGAUAAGUUGAGGAUACUGAGAAGUGGGGCUCAGUGAAUAUUUUAGGUGUUUUCUUUCAGUUACGAACUUAUCCGCGCUCACUUGUUUCUCUCGACUUUUUUCGAAUAGUACGUUGAUGUUUUUUUCGAACGAGUGAUGCUGUGAGCUUCCCGACGAUAAUCGCGAAAUUACGAUGCAAUCGUCGUCGUAAACUUUCUACUGGGAAAAGAUGAGAUUACCCCGAAGGUGUUUUCUACAGUAGUGUGUUGUGCUGUGGUGAAAUCAAGUGCCGGUGAUAAUCGAAUUCUUCCAAACGCCUUCAGUUUUCGAGGACCAAAUAGAGUGAUGGCUGCCUGGAUGCAUUUUUGAGUACUUGCUUGAUUUUAAAAGUGCCGUCACUUGAUUCGAGAUCGUCACGCUGUCUUAGGACUGCUGACGACAGGAUUGGCAACACUGUUUCUCGUAAAGAGGCACUCGGCACAUAUUCAUUGCUUUUACUUUACCGCAGAACUGCGAAAGAUCCUUACAGUGAUCUGAAACAUCGAAAUGAUCUACCGUUGCAGCCCUGACCUAUAAGGAGCCGACUGCGCUAGUCCUCGGAAAAAAGGAGCGUAACCAUCGAGCUAAAGUUUCCCGUCUUUCCCCAGGAGGAGUUUCGAUGGAAGCAGGAUAUAGUGUUUUCACCCCGGAGCCAGCCAAGCCUCUGCCCACCGACUUGAGAGAGGAUGAGGAUACUAUGGAACGACGAAACAAGUUUUGGUACUAUUUUCGCCAAAGACAAACCUAUCAGCCACUCGUUUUAUGGAGGAUAAGGACAUCAGAAUACAUAGUGCACGGUGAACGUACGCACAACGACGCUGGACGCUGUGGCUCGGAAAACUAGUGAUCUUCGGUGAAAUUGUGUAAGAUCUGUAUGUAUGUAUGUAUGUAUGUAUACAAUUAUGUGUGUGUGUUUCGUUUAUUAUGCCUAGUACAUACAUGGCCGAGAGACCAUGAGUUGUACAAAACAAUUCGUAGAGUGAAAAAUAGUAUAUAUUAUGAAAAUGAAAUACAACACAACAUGAAAACGAAAUAAAAGAUAGUACCAACAUGUUUGCAUGAUAGAGUGCAGAUUUACAUGUAGUGCGGAUAUGCGUAUAAUAUAUACUGAUAAUUGUGAAUGAUUUUGAUAUUGUUACUGUAAUUUGUAAAAUAACUUUGUUGAUUACAGUAUUUAAUGAGUAACGCAGAUGUACACUACUUUUUUUCUCGAGUAACUUUCU